RNAcentral lists this ribosomal RNA (250 nucleotides) under uncultured bacterium. Its description in RNAcentral is "partial 16S ribosomal RNA". It matches the Rfam family "Bacterial small subunit ribosomal RNA", at positions 524 to 773 of the family's 1533-position model. The record is from RNAcentral.
GCCUUCUUUUUCAAUCGUUAAUCGGAAUAACUGGGCGUAAAGCGCACGCAGGCGGUUGGAUAAGCGAGAUGUGAAAGCCCCGGGCUCAACCUGGGAACUGCAUUUCGAACUGUCCGACUAGAGUCUUGUAGAGGGGGGUAGAAUUCCAGGUGUAGCGGUGAAAUGCGUAGAGAUCUGGAGGAAUACCGGUGGCGAAGGCGGCCCCCUGGACAAAGACUGACGCUCAGGUGCGAAAGCGUGGGGAGCAAAC